UACGGAGGGUGCAAACGUUGCUCGGAAUCAUUGGGCGUAAAGCGCACGUAGGCGGCUUCUUAAGUCGGGUGUGAAAGCCCUCGGCUCAACCGAGGAAGUGCAUUCGAAACUGGGGGGCUUGAAUACUGGAGAGGAUGGCGGAAUUCCCGGUGUAGAGGUGAAAUUCGUAGAUAUUCGCAAGAACACCAGUGGCGAAGGCGGCUCACUGGCCCGGUACUGACGCUGAUGUGCGAAAGCGUGGGGAGCAAACAGG
RNAcentral lists this ribosomal RNA (253 nucleotides) under uncultured bacterium. Its description in RNAcentral is "partial 16S ribosomal RNA". It matches the Rfam family "Bacterial small subunit ribosomal RNA", at positions 524 to 776 of the family's 1533-position model. The record is from RNAcentral.